AGUGCUGUUUCCGGAAAUUUGUUCAUUCUUUGGAAACAUGUUGAAGGUGUUGCUUGAUCUUUUUGGAAGUAAAACAUGUUCAUCGAGUCGUAUUGCAGUAAAGUUUGGGACAAACGUUUUGCCAAAUGAAUGUGCUGUCGUUUGAGGAACCUCGAUGGAAAUAAUCCUCGUGUGCUCCAUAGGUUUCAGCUACAAAUUCAAUUAAUAAUUAAAUGGCAGAACUAUAUAACUGCAAUACGGUCUGUAUAUGCCAUAUUGUAGAACUCUGUAAUUCUGCCAAAUGAAUAGUACGUGCAAUGACUAUCGCCAUGUGGUUGAUUAAAUUCGUGAACUAUGUGGUCUAGAUUCUGCAACACGUGCCUCUGUAAAACCUGUAGCUAUCGUGAAAUUCAUAUGUAUGUACCGUCCGUUAAUUUACAAUAUUUGUUCUUCAUUGCAGUCGGCUGUAAAAUAUAAAUAAGAGACAUGAAAUACAUAUGGGGAAUAUGUUGAGGAUAUUUAACGCACAUAUGAAAAUGCCGUAAAAUACGUGCAUGCAGAAAUCUGAUGAGAAGACUUCAGCUGAAUGAGUUCAAAGGGAAUUGGACAAUAAAUUCCUUAAGGGUGAUUUUUCCCUAACACAGCGAACAUCAAGGAAAUGCAGAAUGAAUUUGGAAUACCAUCUCAUGAGAUGAACUUGCUGGUGUUCAUGGGGUUUCGCCAAGGAUUUGCAGUUAUCGUUGCAUAUGAAACUAAAAUGUGUACACAUGAUAAUUUUCGAAAUAAAUAGUUGUAUAUUAU
This is a long non-coding RNA of Anastrepha obliqua, 780 nucleotides long. RefSeq lists it as uncharacterized. The transcript is spliced from 5 exons. The record is from RefSeq and is a predicted model, not a curated record. Lineage: Eukaryota; Metazoa; Arthropoda; Insecta; Diptera; Tephritidae.